Long non-coding RNA from Oncorhynchus keta (chum salmon), 591 nucleotides. RefSeq lists it as uncharacterized. The record is from RefSeq and is a predicted model, not a curated record. NCBI's taxonomy places the organism in Eukaryota, Metazoa, Chordata, Actinopteri, Salmoniformes, Salmonidae. The transcript has 3 exons.
AACACACUGUCUGUAAUGUAAUGUCCUUCUGGGUCACCAGAGGUUCCAUCUGUCUCUGUCUAACACACUGUCUGUAAUGUAAUGUCCUUCUGGGUCACCAGAGGUUCCAUCUGUCUCUGUCUAACACACUGUCUGUAAUGUAAUGUCCUUCUGGGUCACCAGAGGUUCCAUCUGUCUCUGUCUAACACACUGUCUCUAAUGUAAUGUCCUUCUGGGCCACCAGAGGUUCCAUCUGUCUCUGUCUAACACACUGUCUGUAAUGUAAUGUCCUUCUGGGUCACCAGAGGUUCCAUCUGUCUCUGUCUAACACACUGUCUCUAAUGUAAUGUCCUUCUGGGUCACCAGAGGUUCCAUCUGUCUCUGUCUAACACACUGUCUCUAAUGUAAUGUCCUUCUGGGUCACCAGAGGUUCCAUCUGUCUCUGUCUAACACACUGUCUCUAAUGUAAUGUCCUUCUGGGCCACCAGAGGUUCCAUCUGUCUCUGUCUAACACACUGUCUCUAAUGUAAUGUCCUUCUGGGUCACCAGAGGUUCCAUCUGUCUCUGUCUAACACACUGUCUCUAAUGUAAUGUCCUUCUGGGCCACCAGAG